ACCCUAACCUAGCACUCCCUCUCACUCUCCUGUCUCUUUAUCUCUUCCGCCUCCUACGUCGUCGCCUCUGGUGGCGCAACCGGCGACCACCACUGCCGCCGCCACCACCUCCUCUCUCACCGUCCUCUCUCUCUGCGCCUAUUAUCUUCACCGAUCUUCACUGGUCGUCUACUUCGUCUUCUCCACUCUCGUCAUCGGUUCCAAAACCCUAACCCUACAUUCGAUGUUCUCCAAUUCCUCUACAAGCCAUAUGUUCAAAUCCAGACCCUACACUCCCCUCAACUGUUUCAGAACCCUUGUCUACAAAGGACUACCACCGGACUCGUCAGAAUGGCGAUCUCGAACGGGCUGAUUACGAUGAGAAAAAUCAGGCGGCGGGGCGCAUUAAUGCCUCAGAAACAAAAUUGCAGGAUGGACAGUUCAUCUUUGCCCUAAUUUUUCUCUCCAUUUUAUGUGGUGCAUUUAGGUUCACUGGCAAGAAACUCUAUGAGGCUAUGUCGCAGGAGUAUUAACAACUCAAAGAGUUCUAAUUGUUUCAGCAGAUCUAGAUAUAUUGGCUAGCAGUUCUACAAAAUUUGAUAAGGAACUUCCUUUAAUAUCCUUAGAUGGAAAACUUAUUUCAUAUUGGCUACUUUUCUGAUAGUUACACUUUUUGUUAUAUGACAUGGUUAAUAGUUAUUAAAAUUGUUUGGGUCUCUAACCUAUGAUUACUUUAGAUCACUUCUCUGGGUUGGACCUGCACUUCUAUUUUCAACUGCCACUGCAAUCAGCGUGCUUGGGUGGGAUGGAAAAGUGAGGACAAUUCUUUCUAUUAGGAUGCCCAAUGCAGCUUUGUACUAUACCACUGCUUUUCUGAGCCAUCAAGAUGAACUUCUGUACAGUGCUGUUUGGUGCAUUGAAUGAUCGAUUGUUGCUUGCAAACCUAACAAAGAUAAAUCUGAAACAGAAAAGGGGGUUUAGAUAAAGAGCUGUCUUGUUGGGCUUCUCGAACCUCUUCUUAUUGGAUUUGCCACAAUGUAACAGAGUUUUGAGCAGAAACUAGACUUGUCAGAAAUAUUGUAUCAAAUAACAUCCAGGUUUUCCUUUCCCCUACUAGUAGGCAUGUGUUUUGUCACAUAUACAACUCCUUUGGAUAUUCAACACUUGUUGGAUUCUGUUAUCCUUUUCAUUUCUAUUGUUUGGCUUAUAAAGAUUAUUUAAAAAGCACUAUCAAUGUAGAUUAUUUCAUUAAGAAGCAUCCAGUAAACUAAAAGAAAAUUAACAUAGGAAAGGCAGCUUAGAACAGAAUUCAAAAUUGAUGUGUUCACUUGGGUUUGUUUCUGGAAAUUCUUCUGCCAUUUCUAUCUGAAAGUAGAGUCUUGCUGUAUUCUUUAUUUAUUUGUUUUUCUUUUUGGGUCUUUGUGUGUGUGUGUGAGAGAGAGAGAGAGAGAGAGAGAGUUUUGCUCUGCCUUUUCUAGCAUUUUGUGCUCUGCAUGGCUGCACUGUGGUCUCUGUGAACAUCUCUUGGUCAUUUUGGUUGUGUUUUAGCUCUCUUAAUACCCAGCUAGCUUUGUUUUGGGUCUGUGACAUCUAAUGUUGUAGACUCUUGGCGUAUUUUUUGUGUAACCUUUUUCUAUUUUAGCCUCUGAGACAUUACUUCUGGAAUUCCUUUUUUCCCUUAAUUUGUGCAGUAGCCUAGGAUUAGAAACACUCAGGAUUAUGCAAAAUCUCACACACAUUAUAGGUUUUUCCUUUAAUUUGUGCAGUAGCAUAUGAUAGCAUGCUCAAAGUACUGAUUGAUAUAUUACACAUUUUUAUGUGCUUGGGAAUUAGUCAAUAUGAGUGGAGUAGUGGUGCUAGUUAAUGAGGUUUAAACUAACUUGUACAAGUAUUGCAAGUUCAUUUCAUAGUUACAGAACUAUGUGACACAUGCUUGAAGUACUGAUAUAUUGCACAUUUUAUGUGCUUGACAUUAAGUCAAUAUAAAUAGAGUUGUGGCCUGUGAGUGCUAUUCAUGGAUGAUAGGGAUUUGAAUAGCCUGAUGAUGUAUCACUUUCUUUUCUUUUUGCUAGUGUAAAACAUAGGUUACCAGCUCCUCAUUCAUGUCAUAUUUUGCGUAAUAUGGCUUACUGUAAUAAUAAGUGUGUUAAUGUGAUAGGAUUAGAAACACUCAGGUUUAAAUCAUACAGGUCCAUGGCCUAGUCAAUUCGUGAUCUUCAAGAUGUAACAGGAAGUAUAGUUUCAUGGCCUAGUUAAUUCAUUCUUUUAGACUAAAUAUUAGACUAAUUGAUUUACGAUUUGUAGUUAUACUUUUUGGAUGUUUAAAGUCGUAUUUUAGAGAUUAGUGAAUCUUAUAAUUUGGGUACUUUUUUUGGUUUGUAUGUUUGAGGUUGUUAUGAGCUUGAUAUGAUAGAAGUUGAGGAUGAAAGUUAAUAUGCAGGUUGUUUGGUGUAUGGAUAUUUGAUUUUUUUGCUUAUUUUAUAGUUAGUUUAUUCAUAUGCUUUUAGUGGUUUCUGAAUUAAUUUUUAUUUUUAUU
Camellia sinensis is the source of this 2515-nucleotide non-coding RNA. NCBI's taxonomy places the organism in Eukaryota, Viridiplantae, Streptophyta, Magnoliopsida, Ericales, Theaceae. The record is from RefSeq and is a predicted model, not a curated record.